UCGGAUAUGGUGUAUCGGUUAGCAUCACCCGCUUUCAUUUAUAAUGGAUUGCACCGGGUAGAGCCGGGUUCGACUCCCGGUAUCCGAA
This is a non-coding RNA of Patellaria atrata CBS 101060, 88 nucleotides long. Lineage: Eukaryota; Fungi; Ascomycota; Dothideomycetes; Patellariales; Patellariaceae. The record is from the annotation of a GenBank genome assembly.